RNAcentral lists this ribosomal RNA (314 nucleotides) under uncultured bacterium. RNAcentral describes it as "bacterial SSU rRNA". It matches the Rfam family "Bacterial small subunit ribosomal RNA", at positions 20 to 347 of the family's 1533-position model. The record is from RNAcentral.
UGGCUCAGAACGAACGCUGGCGGCGUGCUUAACACAUGCAAGUCAAGGGGACCCGCAAGGGUAACCGGCGAACGGGUGCGUAACACGUGAGCAACCUGCCGAUUUGUGGGGGAUAGCCGGCCCAACGGCCGGGUAAUACCGCAUACGCUUUUGGAGAGACAUCUCUCUUUGAGGAAACCUCCGGGGCAGAUCGAGGGGCUCGCGGCCUAUCAGCUAGUUGGCGGGGUAUCGGCUCACCAAGGCGGGAAAGGUAGCCGGCCUGAGAGGGCGACCGGCCACACUGGGUUNCUCCCCGGCCCAUGAUCAUACGGGAG